This 688-nucleotide ribosomal RNA is filed under the name uncultured Nitrososphaerota archaeon. RNAcentral describes it as "bacterial SSU rRNA". It matches the Rfam family "Archaeal small subunit ribosomal RNA", at positions 73 to 764 of the family's 1478-position model. The record is from RNAcentral. Lineage: Archaea; Thermoproteati; Nitrososphaerota.
AAUAUGUGGCAUACGGCUCAGUAACACGUAGUCAACAUGCCCAGGGGAUGUGGAUAACCUCGGGAAACUGAGGAUAAACCGCGAUAGGUCAUUACUUCUGGAAUGGGUAAUGACUUAAACCUAUAUGGCCCCUGGAUUGGACUGCGGCCGAUCAGGCUGUUGGUGAGGUAAUGGCCCACCAAACCUGUAACCGGUACGGGCUCUGAGAGGAGGAGCCCGGAGAUGGGCACUGAGACAAGGGCCCAGGCCCUAUGGGGCGCAGCAGGCGCGAAACCUCUGCAAUAGGCGAAAGCUUGACAGGGUUACUCUGAGUGAUUUCCGUUAAGGAGAUCUUUUGGCACCUCUAAAAAUGGUGCAGAAUAAGGGGUGGGCAAGUCUGGUGUCAGCCGCCGCGGUAAUACCAGCACCCCGAGUGGUCGGGACGUUUAUUGGGCCUAAAGCAUCCGUAGCCGGUUCUACAAGUCUUCCGUUAAAUCCACCUGCUUAACAGAUGGGCUGCGGAAGAUACUAUAGAGCUAGGAGGCGGGAGAGGCAAGCGGUACUCGAUGGGUAGGGGUAAAAUCCGUUGAUCCAUUGAAGACCACCAGUGGCGAAGGCGGCUUGCCAGAACGCGCUCGACGGUGAGGGAUGAAAGCUGGGGGAGCAAACCGGAUUAGAUACCCGGGUAGUCCCAGCUGUAAACGAUGCA